CCUACGGGUGGCAGCAGUGAGGAAUAUUGGUCAAUGGGCGAGAGCCUGAACCAGCCAAGUCGCGUGAAGGAUGAAGGAUCUAUGGUUUGUAAACUUCUUUUAUAUGGGAAUAAAGUGAGGAACGUGUUCCUUUUUGUAUGUACCAUAUGAAUAAGCAUCGGCUAACUCCGUGCCAGCAGCCGCGGUAAUACGGAGGAUGCGAGCGUUAUCCGGAUUUGUUGGGUUUAACGGGUGCGUAGGUGGGUAAUUAAGUCAGCGGUGAAAGUUUGUGGCUCAACCAUAAAAUUGCCGUUGAAACUGGUAGACUUGAGUAUAUUUGAGGUAGGCGGAAUGCGUGGUGUAGCGGUGAAAUGCAUAGAUAUCACGCAGAACUCCGAUUGCGAAGGCAGCUUACUAAACUAUAACUGACACUGAGGCACGAAAGCGUGGGGAUCAAACAGGAUUAGAUACCCUAGUAGUC
RNAcentral lists this ribosomal RNA (460 nucleotides) under uncultured bacterium. Its description in RNAcentral is "partial 16S ribosomal RNA". It matches the Rfam family "Bacterial small subunit ribosomal RNA", at positions 338 to 795 of the family's 1533-position model. The record is from RNAcentral.